UACGAAGGGGGCUAGCGUUGCUCGGAAUCACUGGGCGUAAAGGGUGCGUAGGCGGGUCUUUAAGUCAGGGGUGAAAUCCUGGAGCUCAACUCCAGAACUGCCUUUGAUACUGGCAACCUUGAGUCCGGGAGAGGUGAGUGGAACUGCGAGUGUAGAGGUGAAAUUCGUAGAUAUUCGCAAGAACACCGGUGGCGAAGGCGGCAUCCUGGACCGGUAUUGACGCUGAGGAGCGAAAGCCAGGGGAGCAAACGGG
Molecule: ribosomal RNA, 253 nt
Filed under: uncultured bacterium
Lineage: Bacteria
Description: partial 16S ribosomal RNA
Rfam family: Bacterial small subunit ribosomal RNA
Source: RNAcentral